Molecule: long non-coding RNA, 415 nt
Organism: Fundulus heteroclitus (mummichog)
Lineage: Eukaryota; Metazoa; Chordata; Actinopteri; Cyprinodontiformes; Fundulidae
Exons: 3
Source: RefSeq, a predicted model, not a curated record
UAAAAUCCCUUGGUCCUUUUUUUUCCCAGUACCUGAACACACCACAAGACACACCCCUGUAGUCUAACCAAUCAUGAAGUUCAGGCACAUUUUAUAAGCUGAGGUGAGUUUCCCCAAUCAGUAGUGAGGGGGAAGCCACUGGAGCAGCUGCACUUGUGUCUACUGCCGUGGGGUUAGAAACCAUCCGGUUCCACGGUGUGUUGAAUAUCUGCGGGAAUUGGCCAGGUGAGCCCAGCUGUGGGUCAAUUGAUGGCGAGCUACUACCUGGAACAGAACCUGCCCCUAUACAUCCUCAUCCUGUGGGUCUGGUAGGAGGCUGCUGCAGCUUUGCUCAACCCCUCCAUUUUCCUUUACACAUCUGUCCAAUUACUAAGACUUGGAUAAUGGACUGAUUGCAUCUCUCAAAUCAUUCUCU